This is a long non-coding RNA of Manis pentadactyla (Chinese pangolin), 422 nucleotides long. RefSeq lists it as uncharacterized. The record is from RefSeq and is a predicted model, not a curated record. The transcript is spliced from 2 exons. NCBI's taxonomy places the organism in Eukaryota, Metazoa, Chordata, Mammalia, Pholidota, Manidae.
GGAUGGGCCUCCAGAGACGGCGGAGCGCCGGAAGGGCGGCGCCGCCCGAGCCUUUGGCCGAGGUUAUUUUUACGUUCUUUCCACUUUUCCCUUGGUCGCGUGCUUCCUGGGCCUCCACUCUGCGUCCCCCUAACAUGAUCUGAAGUUUUCGAGCAGGACAGCUCCCUGAGACUGAGCACCGUCUGUCCCGCUCCCAGAUUCCGCAGGGGACCAACGUGCUGGCAUCUGAGAUGCUCAGCGAAUGCUUGUUGAUUGCAUGAAUGAACCGCAGGAUGUUUGCCAAGACACUCCUGAUGGCUGGAAGCACGUGAGAUUCUGGAUGCAAUUUCUUAACUUCAUAUUUUUCUGUACAUUCCAAGUCUUUUCUUUCAGUGUGUAAGGAUUACAUUAGAAUUAGACAACAAUAAAGACAUGCACCCCAA